This 519-nucleotide ribosomal RNA is filed under the name uncultured bacterium. Its description in RNAcentral is "bacterial SSU rRNA". It matches the Rfam family "Bacterial small subunit ribosomal RNA", at positions 29 to 526 of the family's 1533-position model. The record is from RNAcentral.
AACGAACGCUGGCGGCAUGCCUAAUACAUGCAAGUCGAACGAGAAAGCUUCUUCGGAAGUGAUUAAAGUGGCGCACGGGUGCGUAACACGUAGAUGAUCUGCCCAUGAGAGGGGUACAACAGGGAGAAAUUCCUGCUAAUACCGCGUAAGUUGUUUAUUUUGAAGAGUAAACAAGAAAGGUGGCCUCUGAUUUAAGCUAUCGCUGAUGGAUGAGUCUGCGGACCAUUAGUUUGUUGGUGGGGUAAUGGCCUACCAAGGCGACGAUGGUUAGCCGGUCUGAGAGGACGAUCGGCCACACUGGAACUGAGAUACGGUCCAGACUCCUACGGGAGGCAGCAGUAGGGAAUAUUGCGCAAUGGGCGAAAGCCUGACGCAGCAAUGCCGCAUGAGUGAGGAAGGCCUUAGGGUUGUAAAGCUCUGUCAGAAGGGACAAAUGGCAUGAAUCGUAAUAUGGUUCAUGUUUGAUGGUACCUUCAAAGGAAGCACCGGCUAACUUCGUGCCAGCCGCCGCCGUAACAC